UCUAUAACUCGAUAAUCCACGAACACCAAACCCUCUCUAGAAUUCCAGCAUGUGUACUGCCGUUGUAAGCAUACCUUUAAAAGAAUAAGUGUGCUACUAUGACCCCAAAAGACUCAUAUACAUCAGGUCAAAGUGCAGCCAAUAAGGGGGUGAUGAUGGGUUACAACCCUAAAAUAGACUAUCAAAUAAGAAAUUAAAAAUCUUACGAAAGUGGACUUGGUCGUAAUCAACUUAUAUAAUAAAAAAAUGAAUAUAAAUCUAAGACAUGCACACAUCGCCCGUCACUCUAUCCAAAAGGUUAGAUAAGUCGUAACAAAGUAGGUGUAAUGGAAAUUGCACCUGUCAGAGUAUAGCAUAUAAAAUGCUUUUUACUUACACUAAAAAUAAAGUUACUACUUGCUCUGUCCACACACGGAAAUCUUUUAAACACUUAAUAAUAAAAACAAAUAAACAAAUAAUAGUUAAUAACGAAGUACAGAAAUGGAAAGCCUAAUUAAUAAAAGUAAUUAUUAACAACUGUACCUUGUGCAUUAUGGUUUUACAAGCUAAUAAUUAAAAACACCAAUCCCGAAUUCUACAUGAGAUGUUAAACUGCUGUUAUGAACUUAUUAAUGGCUGUAGAAAAAGCUUUAAAAGACAGUUUAACAGAGGCUACAUACCAUCCGCAUAAGAAUAUAGCUGGUUUUCAACAAACAUUAUACAUUAAAACAUAUAAUAAUUUAUACUGUAAAAUUACUGAGGACAAGCCCAGUAAUCAAAGCAAUACUCUACCAACCCAAAAAUUCUCUAUAGGCCUAAAACCAGCCAACCAAAAUACUUUACCGUAACAUACAAAGACAUAAUACAUGUGUUAAGAUAUGCGAAAGUAAGUUGAAAUAAUGAAUAAACUAGUAAACUCAUACAUAUUAUGUAAAAAUAAGUAUUAUAAAAAUAUAUCAACAAUAAUCUAGUACUACCAACAAAUAAACAAACAAUAAUUAAUUAAGGAACUCGGCAAACCAUUAUUUCGACUGUUUAACAAAAACAUUGUCCCAUGAAAGAAAAUAUGGGAUAGUGCCUGCCC
This 1063-nucleotide ribosomal RNA is filed under the name Metaphire vulgaris. RNAcentral's name for it is "partial 12S ribosomal RNA". The record is from RNAcentral. Lineage: Eukaryota; Metazoa; Annelida; Clitellata; Crassiclitellata; Megascolecidae.